GUAAAUAAAAUAUUGAUACAAUUUCUAAAAACAUGUUUUCACUUUGUCAUUAUAGGGUAUUGUGAUGUCAUUAUUGUAACGUGGGUCGUACAAAGGGGACCAAGGGACGGCGUGUAAAGUGCUCAUAUUUUACUUUAAUGAAAACACUAAAUCAAAAACAACAAAACGAGGUUACAAGGAACAAAACAGAAAACAACUACCUACAAAACCCCAUAGACAAAUCCCAACUUAAAUAUGAUCUCCAAUUAGAGACAACACGAACCAGCUGCCUCUAAUUGGAGAUCAUCACAAAACUCAACCUAGAAAUAGAAAAACAAGAACUAAACAUAGACACAAAAAAAACAUAGACUGCCCGCCCAUAUCACACCCUGACCUAACUACACAGAGAAAACACAGCUCUCCUAGGUCAGAGUGUGACAAUUAUAGGGUAUUGUGAUGUCAUUAUAGGGUAUUGUGAUGUCAUUAUAGGAUAUUGUGAUGUCAUUAUAGGGUAUUGUGAUGUCAUUAUAGGAUAUUGUGAUAUCAUUAUAGGAUAUUGUGAUGUCAUUAUAGGAUAUUGUGAUGUCAUUAUAGGAUAUUGUGAUGUCAUUAUAGGAUACUGUGAUGUCAUUAUAGGAUAUUGUGAUGUCAUUAUAGGAUACUGUGAUGUCAUUAUAGGGUAUUGUGAUGUCAUUAUAGCGGUAGAGAUACUCUCAAAGAUCGGCUAUGAAAAAGCCAACUGACACUUACUCUUGUGUUAGUGACUUGUUGCACCCUCGACAACUUCUAUGAUUAUUAUUAUUUGACCCUGCUGGUCAUUUAUGAACAUUUGAACAUCUAGGCCAUGUGCUGUUAUAAUCUCCACCCGGCACAGCCAGAAGAGGACUGGCCACCCCUCAUAGCCUGGUUCCUCUCCAGGUUUCUUCCUAGGUUUUGGCCUUUCUAGGGAGUUUUUCCUAGCCACCGUGCUUCUACACCUGCAUUGCUUGCUGUUUGGUUUUUUUUUGGCUGGGUUUCUGUACAGCACUUUGAGAUAUCAGCUGAUGUAAGAAGGGCUUUAUAAAUACAUUUGAUUUGAAAUUUGAUUAAUACGGUAAUGUGUGUAAAUCGGUGUGGAAUAAGUCAAUACUUUCUGAAGGAGAAGAAGAUUAUUGAUUACAUUGAAGAAGGGAGAGACAAAUAGUUGAAUUGAUCGAUCAUCUGAAAUGUGUCCAGUCAUUUCACUGCUUUGUCUUUGAGCAGUAGGUUUAGUUUAGUCAUUUAGCAGACACUCUUAUCCAGAGCGAUUUACAGUAGUGAAUGCAUACAUUUUUUUCUUCUCCGUACUGGUCCCCCGUGGGAAUCGAACCCACAACCCUGGCGUUGCAAACACCAUGCUCUACCAACUGAGCCACACGGGGCUACCCAGACUGAGCUACAGAAACCUGUUAUCAGGUAGGUACACACCUACUGCUCGUUGACACGCGCGAGCAGUGUGGGUACAAUAAUUGAUUAACAUCAUUUUCAUAAUCAAUAAAUAAAACUAAUUCACCACAAUGUUAGUUAUUUGAAGCCUAUUGGAUCAGUCAGUAGUCUACUAGCUGAGGUUUAUUCUCGUUUAUUAUGAGAAAUACAAGGCUGUAGUGUUCCCCCCCUUUGGCCACUAGAUGUCGCUGAGGUUUAUUAUCGUUUAUUAUGAGAAAUACAAGGCUGUAGUGUUCCCCCCCUUUGGCCACUAGAUGUCGCUACGGAACUAUCAGACAUUCCAAUGUGAGACCACAGAGAUCCGAUUCAAUUACAUUGUAGUCAUUUAGCAGACGCUCUUUCCCAGUGCCACUAGGGUUAAGUACCUUGCUCAAAAGGCUACAUCGACAGACUUUUUAUUCUUCACCUAGUCGGCUCGGGGAUUUGAACCAGUAACUUUUCGGUUACUGGCCCAACGCUCUUAACUGCUAGGCUAGCUGCCUAAUACAAGUAAGCAGUUGACUUAAUAUGGAAAUCUAAAGUGUAAAAUUUAAUAGUGAAAUAAAUGUGUGAAUGUCUCAGAUGGAAGGGAACCACAACACACAGAGAGAGAGAGAGAGAGAGAGAGAGAGAAACAGAGACAGAGAGAGAGAGAGAGAAACAGAGAGAGAGAGAGACAGAGAGAGAGAGAGAGAGAGAGAGAGAG
This 2128-nucleotide transfer RNA is filed under the name Salmo salar (Atlantic salmon). RNAcentral's name for it is "lncRNA (ENSSSAG00000104023.1)". Lineage: Eukaryota; Metazoa; Chordata; Actinopteri; Salmoniformes; Salmonidae. The record is from RNAcentral.